RNAcentral lists this ribosomal RNA (603 nucleotides) under uncultured fungus. RNAcentral describes it as "eukaryotic LSU rRNA". It matches the Rfam family "Eukaryotic large subunit ribosomal RNA", at positions 23 to 641 of the family's 3401-position model. Lineage: Eukaryota; Fungi. The record is from RNAcentral.
ACCCGCUGAACUUAAGCAUAUCAAUAAGCGGAGGAAAAGAAACCAACAGGGAUUGCCCUAGUAACGGCGAGUGAAGCGGCAACAGCUCAAAUUUGAAAUCUGGCUCUUUCAGAGUCCGAGUUGUAAUUUGCAGAGGGCGCUUUGGUGUUGGCAGCGGUCCAAGUUCUUUGGAACAGGACGUCACAGAGGGUGAGAAUCCCGUACGUGGUCGCUAGCCCUCACCGUGUAAAGCCCCUUCGACGAGUCGAGUUGUUUGGGAAUGCAGCUCUAAAUGGGAGGUAAAUUUCUUCUAAAGCUAAAUACUGGCCAGAGACCGAUAGCGCACAAGUAGAGUGAUCGAAAGAUGAAAAGCACUUUGGAAAGAGAGUUAAAAAGCACGUGAAAUUGUUGAAAGGGAAGCGCUUGCAGCCAGACUUGCCUGUAGUUGCUCAUCCGGGUUUUUACCCGGUGCACUCUUCUAUAGGCAGGCCAGCAUCAGUUUGGGCGGUUGGAUAAAGGUCUCUGUCAUGUACCUCUCUUCGGGGAGAACUUAUAGGGGAGACGACAUGCAACCAGCCCGGACUGAGGUCCGCGCAUCUGCUAGGAUGCUGGCGUAAUGGCUGU